This 769-nucleotide ribosomal RNA is filed under the name uncultured bacterium. Its description in RNAcentral is "partial 16S ribosomal RNA". It matches the Rfam family "Bacterial small subunit ribosomal RNA", at positions 36 to 800 of the family's 1533-position model. The record is from RNAcentral.
CUGGCGGCNUGCUUANNCNUGCAAGUCGAACGGUAACAGGCCUUCGGGUGCUGACGAGUGGCGGACGGGUGAGUAAUACAUGGGAAUCUGCCCUAGGGUGGGGGAUAACGUUGGGAAACUAACGCUAAUACCGCAUAACCUCUUCGGAGCAAAGCGGGGGAUCUUCGGACCUCGCGCCAAAGGAUGAGCCCAUGUCUGAUUAGCUAGUUGGUGGGGUAAUGGCCUACCAAGGCUGCGAUCAGUAGCCGGCCUGAGAGGGUGGACGGCCACACUGGGACUGAGACACGGCCCAGACUCCUACGGGAGGCAGCAGUGGGGAAUAUUGGACAAUGGGGGCAACCCUGAUCCAGCAAUGCCGCGUGUGUGAAGAAGGCCUGCGGGUUGUAAAGCACUUUUGUUGAGGAAGAAUGUGUUUAGGUUAAUAGCCUGAACACUUGACGUUACUCAAAGAAUAAGCACCGGCUAACUCCGUGCCNNNNCNNCCGCGGUAAUACGGAGGGUGCGAGCGUUAAUCGGAAUUACUGGGCGUAAAGCGUGCGUANGCGGAUGUUUAAGUCUGUUGUGAAAUCCCCGGGCUCAACCUGGGAAUGGCAUUGGAUACUGGGCAUCUANAGUGUGGUANAGGGUAGUGGAAUUUCUGGUGUANCGGUGAAAUGCNUANAUAUCNNAAAGACNNCAAUGGCGAANGGNNCUACCUGGGCCNACACUGACNCUGANGGUACNAAAGCGUNGGGGAGCAACAGGAUUANAUACCCUGGNAGUNCNNNNC